UACGUAGGGGGCAAGCGUUGUCCGGAAUCAUUGGGCGUAAAGCGCGCGUAGGUGGCCCGGUAAGUCCGCUGUAAAAGUCCAGGGCUCAACCCUCGAAUGCCGGUGGAUACUGUCGGACUAGAGUACGGAAGAGGCGAGUGGAAUUCCUGGUGUAGCGGUGAAAUGCGCAGAUAUCAGGAGGAACACCAAUUGCGAAGGCAGCUCGCUGGGACGUUACUGACGCUGAGACGCGAAAGCGUGGGGGGCAAACAGG
This 253-nucleotide ribosomal RNA is filed under the name uncultured bacterium. Its description in RNAcentral is "partial 16S ribosomal RNA". It matches the Rfam family "Bacterial small subunit ribosomal RNA", at positions 524 to 776 of the family's 1533-position model. The record is from RNAcentral.